This 468-nucleotide ribosomal RNA is filed under the name uncultured bacterium. RNAcentral's name for it is "partial 16S ribosomal RNA". It matches the Rfam family "Bacterial small subunit ribosomal RNA", at positions 28 to 507 of the family's 1533-position model. The record is from RNAcentral.
GACGAACGCUGGCGGCGUGCUUAACACAUGCAAGUCGAACGGAAAGGCCCUGCUUUUGUGGGGUGCUCGAGUGGCGAACGGGUGAGUAACACGUGAGUAACCUGCCCUUGACUUUGGGAUAACUUCAGGAAACUGGGGCUAAUACCGGAUAGGAGCUCCUGCUGCAUGGUGGGGGUUGGAAAGUUUCGGCGGUUGGGGAUGGACUCGCGGCUUAUCAGCUUGUUGGUGGGGUAGUGGCUUACCAAGGCUUUGACGGGUAGCCGGCCUGAGAGGGUGACCGGCCACAUUGGGACUGAGAUAAGGCCCAGACUCCUACGGGAGGCAGCAGUGGGGAAUAUUGCACAAUGGGCGGAAGCCUGAUGCAGCAACGCCGCGUGCGGGAUGACGGCCUUCGGGUUGUAACCCGCUUUCGCCUGUGACGAAGCGUGAGUGACGGUAAUGGGUAAAGAAGCACCGGCUAACUACGUG